AGUGAACGCUGGCGGUAGGCCUAACACAUGCAAGUCGAACGGCAGCACAGUAAGAGCUUGCUCUUACGGGUGGCGAGUGGCGGACGGGUGAGGAAUACAUCGGAAUCUACUUUUUCGUGGGGGAUAACGUAGGGAAACUUACGCUAAUACCGCAUACGACCUACGGGUGAAAGCAGGGGAUCUUCUGACCUUGCGCGAGUGAAUGAGCCGAUGUCGGAUUAGCUAGUUGGCGGGGUAAAGGCCCACCAAGGCGACGAUCCGUAGCUGGUCUGAGAGGAUGAUCAGCCACACUGGAACUGAGACACGUUCCAGACUCCUACGGUAGGCAGCAGUGGGGAAUAUUGGACAAUGGGGGCAAGCCUGAUCCAGCCAUACCGCGUAGGUGAAGAAGGCCUUCGGGUUGUAAAGCCCUUUUGUUGGGAAAGAAAAGCAGCAGGUUAAUACCCCGCUGUUCUGACGGUACCCAAAGAAUAAGCACCGGCUAACUUCGUG
RNAcentral lists this ribosomal RNA (492 nucleotides) under uncultured bacterium. Its description in RNAcentral is "partial 16S ribosomal RNA". It matches the Rfam family "Bacterial small subunit ribosomal RNA", at positions 29 to 507 of the family's 1533-position model. The record is from RNAcentral.